UAAACGACGUACUGCUACUACAUGUGGUGUGUACGGACGAAUCGAAAGCUUGCUUUUGAUUCGUUAGCGGCGGACGGGUGAGUAACACGUGGGCAACCUGCCCUGUAGACGGGGAUAACACCGAGAAAUCGGUGCUAAUACCGGAUAACACGAAAUGUCGCAUGACGUUUCGUUGAAAGACGGCGCAAGCUGUCGCUACAGGAUGGGCCCGCGGCGCAUUAGCUAGUUGGUGAGGUAACGGCUCACCAAGGCGACGAUGCGUAGCCGACCUGAGAGGGUGAUCGGCCACACUGGGACUGAGACACGGCCCAGACUCCUACGGGAGGCAGCAGUAGGGAAUCUUCCGCAAUGGACGAAAGUCUGACGGAGCAACGCCGCGUGAGCGAAGAAGGCCUUCGGGUCGUAAAGCUCUGUUGUUAGGGAAGAACAAGUAACGCAGUAACUGGCGUUACCGUGACGGUACCUAACGAGAAAGCCACGGCUAACUACGUGCCAGCAGCCGCGGUAAUACGUAGGUGGCAAGCGUUGUCCGGAAUUAUUGGGCGUAAAGCGCGCGCAGGCGGUUCCUUAAGUCUGAUGUGAAAGCCCACGGCUCAACCGUGGAGGGUCAUUGGAAACUGGGGGACUUGAGUGCAGAAGAGGAUAGCGGAAUUCCUGGG
RNAcentral lists this ribosomal RNA (659 nucleotides) under Anoxybacillus flavithermus. Its description in RNAcentral is "bacterial SSU rRNA". It matches the Rfam family "Bacterial small subunit ribosomal RNA", at positions 63 to 674 of the family's 1533-position model. The record is from RNAcentral. Lineage: Bacteria; Bacillati; Bacillota; Bacilli; Caryophanales; Anoxybacillaceae.